Molecule: long non-coding RNA, 1061 nt
Filed under: Homo sapiens (human)
Lineage: Eukaryota; Metazoa; Chordata; Mammalia; Primates; Hominidae
Description: HSALNT0064112
Source: RNAcentral
UCAUCAUAUAGAUGACAAUGAGGACUUCCUCAUUGGUGGAUCUGCCCUUACCUCUCCUCCGGGCAUGCUCACUAAUAACUAGGUUCUAAGCUAAAUGUGACCUGACUAGGGAAUGCUGAGUCUGCCAAGGAAGGAGAGGAGUUACAUGCUGAAGGAGCUGCAAUACCUGGAUUACAUUUACCAGCAGGAAUCAGGAGUGUUUCCGGGAGAAGAUCUUGAGGGUGCCAUAUCCAGGGGAGUAGAGUGUAAUAUAAAGCUGCAUAAUAGCUUGCCAGUAUGUGGAAAAUUUCCCGUAACACUGGAUUUAAUAUCGCAGGGGCCACAGGAGCCAGAUUAUAUUAAUCUGCUGCUAAGAAGACCCCUGGAAUAAAAAAGGAAUGACCCACCUUAAAAGAAGUAUGGCAUGGAAGAAGGAAUCAAAAAGCACAGCAAACUGAGCCAGCUGGAAAGAAUCUACAAUAUAAGACUAGAAAACCAACUGGCUAACAAUGUGUCCUGGAAAAGUGUUAUGAACUGAAUUGUGCCUGCCCCCCAGACUCAUUUGUUGAAGCCCUGACCCCCAGUGUGACUGUAUUUGGAGAUAGGAAAUUUAAGGAGGGAAUUAAGGUCAAAUGAGGUCAUAAUGUGGGGCCCUAAUCUAAUAAAACUGGUGCCCUUAUAAGAGGAAGAGACACCAGAGAUCUGUCUCUCUCUGCACGCAUGCACGGAAGAAAGACCAUAUGAGGACACAGCAAGGAGGCAGCAAUUUGCAAGCCAGGGGGAGAAGCCUCACUAGAAACCCAACCUCUUGGCAUGUUUAUUGGAUUUCCAACCUCCAGAACUGUGAGAAAAUAAAUUUCUGUUGCUUUAGCCACCCAAUCUGUAGUAUUUUGCAUGGCAGAACUAGCAGACAAAUACAGAGGGCCGGCCUGGUGCAGUGGCUCACGCCUGUAAUCCCAGCACUUUGGGAGGCUGAGGUGGGCAGAUCACCUGAGGUGAGGAGUUCGAGACCAGCCUGGCCAACAUGGUGAAAUCCUGUCUCUACUAAAAAUACAAAAAUUAGCCAGGUGUGGUGGCAGGUG